GACGAACGCUGGCGGCGCGCCUUAACACAUGCAAGUCGAGCGAGAACCAGUCCUUCGGGGCUGGGGACAGCGGCGAACGGGUGAGUAACACGUGAGUAAUCCACCCUCGGUACCGGAAUAGCCCGGGGAAACCCGGAUUAAUGCCGGAUGGCCCAUCUGUUCUUCGGAAUUUGAUGGAAAAGGUAGCUUCGGCCUCUGACCGGGGACGAGCUCGCGGCGGAUUAGCUUGUUGGCGGGGUAAAGGCCCACCAAGGCGACGAUCGGUAGCUGGUCUGAGAGGACGAUCAGCCACACUGGGAUUGAGAACGGCCCAGACUCCUACGGGGGGCAGCAGUGAGGAAUUUUCCGCAAUGGAGGCAACUCUGACGGAGCAACGCCGCGUGCAUGAGGACGGCCUUC
Molecule: ribosomal RNA, 399 nt
Filed under: uncultured bacterium
Lineage: Bacteria
Description: bacterial SSU rRNA
Rfam family: Bacterial small subunit ribosomal RNA
Source: RNAcentral